This 67-nucleotide transfer RNA is filed under the name Leucoptera malifoliella (pear leaf blister moth). RNAcentral describes it as "tRNA-His". The record is from RNAcentral. Lineage: Eukaryota; Metazoa; Arthropoda; Insecta; Lepidoptera; Lyonetiidae.
AUUUAAAUAAUUUAAUUAAAAUAUUGAUUUGUGGAGUCAAAAAUAUAAUAAAAUAUUAUUUUAAAUA